CUGUCUUAGGCUCUGAGUGAUACCUCUAUUUUAUUAUAAUAAAUUUCCCUUUAGUCCCUAAACUAGAUUGAAAGCAUAUUUUUCACUUAUUGCCCACGGGUUAUUGAAGACACAGUGAUAAUGAGAAUCAGAAUGAAUUUCAGAGAAAGAGGGAAACCUGCAUAUUUGUUUGAACAUUAGCCUUGAGAAGUGCAAAGACACCUAGUCAUGUCUGAAUGUUUGUAUUAAUUAUUAAAUAACACUGGUACUUUGGAAUAAAGACCAUAUCCUGGCAUGGAAUCAGUACCUUCAAAAUGGUUCAGAAUGUACAGAUCUCAACACCGGAUGAAGGAUAACAUUACACCAGUAUUAUGCUGUAGCAUGAAGAUGGGAAGUGAGAAUGUCAUUUUCCAGUACUGUCUGCCAUCAGCCAACCUAGAGUUUGAAGGAGCCCAGAGUAGAUGGAGCCUUGAAUCCCCAGGGAGGUAAGUGGUUUGUAAUUGUGGUUGAGGGAUGAUUUAGCAGUGUGCUUGUUCAGUCCAUUGGAAGAGAAGACAGAUGAUUAGACUGGAAAUGGAUUUGUAAAAUAUUUUACUUUAUUUAUUUUAAAAUUUUAUUUAAAAAAAUUUUUUUUAAUGUUUAUUUUUGAGACAGAGAGAGACAGAGCAUGAAUGGGGGAGGGUCAGAGAGAGAGAGGGAGACACAGAAUCUGAAACAGGCUCCAGGUUCCGAGCUGUCAGCACAGAGCCCGACGCGGAGCUUGAACUCAUGGACCCUAAGAUCAUGACCUGAGCCGAAGUCGGACGUUUAACUGACUGAGCUACCCAGGUGCCCCUAGAAAUUUAUUUUAAAUUUAAUUAGUAUGAUUUUUCCACACUUUGUAUGUAACUGCAUAAUCAUAGCCAAAAUCACUUUAGAUUUGUAAAAAGGACUUCAAGAUUGUUAAAUGGGAAAAAAGAAUGUUCAAUAAUGUAUUUUGUUAGAGUUCUUUAAAAGAAAUCUCACAAACUAUCCAUAAUAUUUUCCAGGAUUUGGGCAUUAAGGUAUCCAUCUGAAAUCUUUCUUUAUAAAUAGUGUUUUGGCUUAAAGAAUAAGAUGACUUUUCUUACUUCAGAGUCAAAUAACUGGGCUAUGUUUGAUUUAAAUCAUGUUCAUGUUAUUUAAAAAUUGAGUGAUUAAAAUAUUUGAAUCAGAAAAGCAUAGUUUUUUGUUUAUUAAUUUGAUCAGUGGAAGCUAAGCACUUGUCUCGAUUUACCUCCUCCCCCCCUUUUUUUUCACUCCCUUGGUUCUUUGUGUAAUGGACCAAAUCAUACCUCUCUGUUAUAGAUCCAGAGAGCUGCUUGUCUUUGAAUAAGAAUAUUCAGAAAAGACAUCAGGCAUUUCCUUUCUCAAAUUUUAAAAUAAAGAGCCUCAGUAUUUCCA
Molecule: long non-coding RNA, 1401 nt
Filed under: Felis catus (domestic cat)
Lineage: Eukaryota; Metazoa; Chordata; Mammalia; Carnivora; Felidae
Description: lncRNA (ENSFCAG00000044998.2)
Source: RNAcentral